Schistosoma margrebowiei is the source of this 82-nucleotide non-coding RNA. The record is from Rfam. Lineage: Eukaryota; Metazoa; Platyhelminthes; Trematoda; Strigeidida; Schistosomatidae.
AGCUUUUCGAAUCCGCGCUGAGAUUUCGUCCGAUACCACCCCAUUAGGGCUGAUCAGACUUCCAAGAUAAGUUGUCGACGCG